GUAGUCAUAUGCUUGUCUCAAAGAUUAAGCCAUGCAUGUCUAAGUACUUGCCGAAAUAAGGUGAACCGCGAAUGGCUCAUUAAAUCAGUUACGGUUCUAUAGAUAUUGACUAUCUACAUGGAUAACUGUGGUAAUUCUAGAGCUAAUACAUGCACAAAAGCCCUAACCUUGCGGAAGGGGCGCAUUUAUUAGAACAAGACCAAUGGGGCUCCUUGUGGGUCCUUACGUUGGUGACUCUGGAUAACUUCAGCUGAUCGCACGGCCUCCGAGCCGGCGACGAAUCUUUCAAGUGUCUGCCUUAUCAACUGUCGAUGGUAGGUUAUGCGCCUACCAUGGUUGCAACGGGUAACGGGGAAU
RNAcentral lists this ribosomal RNA (357 nucleotides) under uncultured fungus. RNAcentral's name for it is "SSU rRNA". It matches the Rfam family "Eukaryotic small subunit ribosomal RNA", at positions 20 to 370 of the family's 1831-position model. The record is from RNAcentral. Lineage: Eukaryota; Fungi.